This 253-nucleotide ribosomal RNA is filed under the name uncultured bacterium. Its description in RNAcentral is "partial 16S ribosomal RNA". It matches the Rfam family "Bacterial small subunit ribosomal RNA", at positions 524 to 776 of the family's 1533-position model. The record is from RNAcentral.
UACGUAGGCAGCGAGCGUUGUUCGGAGUUAUUGGGUUUAAAGGGUGCGUAGGCGGCAUUUUAAGUCAGUGGUGAAAUACUUCAGCUUAACUGGAGAGGUGCCAUUGAUACUGGGAUGCUUGAGUACUGAUGAGGUAGGCGGAAUGGACGGUGUAGCGGUGAAAUGCUUAGAUAUCGUCCAGAACACCGAUAGCGAAGGCAGCUUACUAAGGAGUAACUGACGCUGAGGCACGAAAGUGUGGGGAUCAAACAGG